GGAGGUGUGGCUCAGUGGUAGAGCAGUUUCCUAGAAAGCAGGAGGCCUUGAGUUCAAGCCUCAGUAGGGCCA
This 72-nucleotide transfer RNA is filed under the name Dipodomys ordii (Ord's kangaroo rat). It matches the Rfam family "tRNA". Rfam says of the family: Transfer RNA (tRNA) molecules are approximately 80 nucleotides in length. Their secondary structure includes four short double-helical elements and three loops (D, anti-codon, and T loops). The record is from Rfam by way of RNAcentral. Lineage: Eukaryota; Metazoa; Chordata; Mammalia; Rodentia; Heteromyidae.